This 75-nucleotide transfer RNA is filed under the name hydrothermal vent metagenome. RNAcentral describes it as "tRNA-Met-CAT". It matches the Rfam family "tRNA". Rfam says of the family: Transfer RNA (tRNA) molecules are approximately 80 nucleotides in length. The record is from RNAcentral.
UGCGGGAUAGUGUAAUGGUUACCACGCUUGACUCAUAUUCAAGAAAUGUCAGUUCGAGUCUGAUUUCCGCAACCA